GUUAUGCACAGGCAGACGGACAGGGCCAGAUGGACUCGGUUAGUGAUACUGAUCCAAAAUAACUAUAAAUACGAGACUUUUAACAUAAUUUAACUUCCCAUUGAUGCACAGUAAAUAAUAUAUGGUUGACGAUGGAUCGCUGCUUAUUGCACUGGAGCUGGCUGUGCUGAUGUGAUAGCUGCUGGUUCCAGACGAGUCCCCCACACCGCUGGAGCCUUGGCCGUAGAAUUGCAGGGAUCCGUGGAACUUGCAGUGCUUCUUCUUUUGGCAGGCCUCGACGACAGUUUGCAGUAAGGAGUACUGAAGAUGGGAAGAACAAACACAAGAAUUAGUUUUUCUCCCGACCUAUUAUUAAUACUCCUUAUAAAGUGCAUGCACACGAAAAGGAAAAUAUAGCGAACACCUUUUCUUUUAGCUUGUAAUUAUACAUAUUCCUCGUAGAGUAAAAACAAGAAAAAGAGCAA
This is a long non-coding RNA of Drosophila santomea, 464 nucleotides long. RefSeq lists it as uncharacterized. Lineage: Eukaryota; Metazoa; Arthropoda; Insecta; Diptera; Drosophilidae. The transcript has 2 exons. The record is from RefSeq and is a predicted model, not a curated record.